GGCGCGCAGGCCCCCGCCAGAGCAAAACCGGGGGCGUGGUCGGCCCAGGCCCCGCCCCCAGAAUGCCGGGCUCCACCCUUCCAGGCCUCCUCCGGUGCUGCUGUGAGACUAAGUGGUCCCGGAGCUCUGGGUGGUCCUUUGCUCAGUCUGCGACUACCCUGGGGCUCUUCUGCAGUCGAGAUAGCUCAGCAGGUGUGAGGAGCCUUGGCAUCAAAUUAACGUCCUGAAGGGUCUCUGUGCAGCUGACAAUGGUCUCGAACUCCUGCUUCUGCCUACUGAGUACCUGGAGGGCAGUUAUGCACCACCAUGUAUAGUCCAUCCACUGGCGGUGACAGAGCUCGGGCUCUGUGCAUGCCAGGGCCAGGUAUCUGUGGAUGCUUUUCAGUGGCAUCUGAGGUGGUGUGUCAGGUGGCUACCUACCGCCAAGGCAGAUGAGACACCAGACUGAAAACCAAGUAUCUUACCU
Molecule: non-coding RNA, 466 nt
Organism: Peromyscus maniculatus bairdii (prairie deer mouse)
Lineage: Eukaryota; Metazoa; Chordata; Mammalia; Rodentia; Cricetidae
Source: RefSeq, a predicted model, not a curated record